AUUCCUUACUGCUCUGGAGGGUUGAAUAAAGGAGUGAAACUAUAUGGGAAUGAUAGUAUGGCUAGGGCUGGGGUGGAGCUGAUUUUAAGUCAAAAUAACUUGAGCUGUUACGAAGUCUUGGUAGGAGUAAGCCACCUCUCACCAGAUUUGUUCAACCUGUCUGAGAUGCUGUCACAAGGUUCCUUUAUGGGGUAAGAUACUGGACUAGAUCACCUUGAAGGUUCCAACUUGCUUUAAGACUCUGUGAUUGCAAGUACAUGAAAACCCUUUCCAGGACAGUAGCCCAAUGUCUUCUCUUUAUUUUACACCUCCACUGCACCUGGCAUGUAACUCUACAGAGAACCUGACAUCACUGGCUGCCUAUGUGCCUGGAGAGAUAUUUGAACAUUGGUGCUGACUUGCCAUAUUCUUUUGGAUUAGCCCUGAGCUAACAUCUGCUGCCAAUCCUCCUCUUUUUGCUGAGGUUUGCCAAGUGGUGCCAUGUCCACACCUGGGAUCCGAACUGGCAGCCCCUGGGCCGCCGAAGAGGAACGUGCGCACUUAACCACUGCGCCACCGGGCCAGCCCCCUAAGCGUUUACUUCUUACGCUAACUUUUAAUUAUUUUUCUUUUCCCUCAUUGCCAAGAAUCCACUAUCCUCCAUGGAGACAGACACCAUCAAGGACAAGCACCUGGACCAUCUCCUCCCCACAAAGGGAUAUGGGCUGGUGGGAAAGCUGCUGACCAGCAAGGUCACGGGCUCCCUCCUCUCUGCAAGUAGUCUCAAGGCCAAAGACAAGCUGGUGGGAAAGCUCUGACCAGAAAGGCCAUAUGCUCCCGCCUCCCCUACCUAAAACCCCAAAUAAAAACCCUUCCUUUUAGCUUUUCGGGGAGUUUGGGAUUUCAGCGUUAGCUGCCCUCUCUCCUUGCUCAGCGCUGUGCAAAAAAAUAAAAUUCCUACUUUCUUCCACCACACCCGGUGUCAGAGAUUGGCUUGCUGCACAACGGCUGAGCGAACUCACUUCAGGUUUGGUAACAACAUUAGCUCAGGGCUAAUCUUCAAGCCAAAGGAGAAUACGGCAACAGAUGUUAGCUCAGGGCAAAUCUUCGUUGGCAAAAAAAAGAAGCUCAAAGAAUUACUGUCAGGAUUUAGUAACCAGUGGAACUCUACCUCUUAUAGAUUUUCUUAAUGUCCUCAAUCAAAUAGC
RNAcentral lists this long non-coding RNA (1187 nucleotides) under Equus caballus (horse). RNAcentral's name for it is "lncRNA (ENSECAG00000043869.1)". Lineage: Eukaryota; Metazoa; Chordata; Mammalia; Perissodactyla; Equidae. The record is from RNAcentral.